RNAcentral lists this ribosomal RNA (468 nucleotides) under uncultured bacterium. Its description in RNAcentral is "partial 16S ribosomal RNA". It matches the Rfam family "Bacterial small subunit ribosomal RNA", at positions 28 to 507 of the family's 1533-position model. The record is from RNAcentral.
GACGAACGCUGGCGGCGUGCUUAACACAUGCAAGUCGAACGGAAAGGCCCUGCUUUUGUGGGGUGCUCGAGUGGCGAACGGGUGAGUAACACGUGAGUAACCUGCCCUUGACUUUGGGAUAACUUCAGGAAACUGGGGCUAAUACCGGAUAGGAGCUCCUGCUGCAUGGUGGGGGUUGGAAAGUUUCGGCGGUUGGGGAUGGACUCGCGGCUUAUCAGAUUGUUGGUGGGGUAGUGGCUUACCAAGGCUUUGACGGGUAGCCUGCCUGGGAGGGUGACCGGCCACAUUGGGACUGAGAUACGGCCCAGACUCCUACGGGAGGCAGCAGUGGGGAAUAUUGCACAAUGGGCGGAAGCCUGAUGCAGCAACGCCGCGUGCGGGAUGACGGCAUUCGGGUUGUAAACCGCUUUCGCCUGUGACGAAGCGUGAGUGACGGUAAUGGGUAAAGAAGCACCGGCUAACUACGUG